This is a long non-coding RNA of Homo sapiens (human), 347 nucleotides long. Ensembl annotates it as LNX1 antisense RNA 2. Its record names the gene LNX1-AS2. NCBI's taxonomy places the organism in Eukaryota, Metazoa, Chordata, Mammalia, Primates, Hominidae. The record is from Ensembl.
AACUCUGUGCCUUUUGAGAGUUGAAGGCUUAAAACAACAACAACCACCACAACAAAACUAUUCACCUUUUUAUCCAAUAGAAACUAAGCUGGGAAAACCAAGACAUAGUGAAUCUGAGAAACUGCCUAAGGACAAGCUCAUCGGCAAGCGGCAGAGCAGUUUUUAAUCAAGGCCCACUUUUUAACCACUGGAAAGAAAAGAGGGAAGGUUCUGAUUUCAUGCUCACUGGGACACUUCCUGGACACAUUCAGCUUCUUACCCAUUAUUCAGAAGGAGAAGUAGAAACCUGUAGAAGUAGCCCUGGGGAGGGUAGUUUCUGAUAAAGGAUGUCUCCAUUUGGAAAUUAA